UACGGAGGGUGCAAGCAUUAAUCGGAUUUAUUGGGCGUAAAGGGCGCGUAGGCUGGUUUGUAAGUCAGAUGUGAAAUCCCGGGGCUCAACCUCGGAACAGCAUUUGAAACUGCAUACCUAGAGGGUAGGCGGAGAAAACGGAAUUCCACAAGUAGCGGUGAAAUGCGUAGAUAUGUGGAAGAACACCGGUGGCGAAGGCGGUUUUCUAGCUUACUCCUGACGCUGAGGCGCGAAAGCAAGGGGAUCAAAC
RNAcentral lists this ribosomal RNA (250 nucleotides) under uncultured bacterium. RNAcentral describes it as "partial 16S ribosomal RNA". It matches the Rfam family "Bacterial small subunit ribosomal RNA", at positions 524 to 773 of the family's 1533-position model. The record is from RNAcentral.